Molecule: long non-coding RNA, 488 nt
Filed under: Theobroma cacao (cacao)
Lineage: Eukaryota; Viridiplantae; Streptophyta; Magnoliopsida; Malvales; Malvaceae
Description: long non-coding RNA (TCAC_LNC003711)
Source: RNAcentral
CUAAAAUAACAAUAGCAACAUGUAACAUAUGUAAACUCUCAAAUUUCAACAAAUCAAAUGCUCACAUAUUUGCAUUUACAACCAUAUACCCAUCAUCAUCAUGCACACCAUCCCAUCAUCAUCAUCAUGCACACCAUCCCAUCAUCAUCAUUCCCAACUCAUGCGCACUCCCUACUCGCACAUGGCUAGGUCAUCACCGGGUUAUGCGCACUCCCUACUCGCACAUAACCGGGUCAUCAUCGGGUUAUGCGUACUCCCUACUCGCACAUAACCGGAUCAUCAUCGGCUUAUGCGCACUCCCUACUCGCACAUAGCUGAGUCAAUAUCAUUACACAACAAUGUAUUCAUAUAUAUAUAUAUAUAUCAACAUAAUGUGGUAGUGCAUGAAUCAAUAAUAGUCACAUGUCACAACAUGAAGACAAUCUAUCAAAAGCUUGUUCCCAAGGCACUUGUUUUUAUGAAAAGCUGGAUAAUCCAUUCAAAUGUUU